GGGAGGACCAUCUCCCAAGGCUAAAUACUCCCUAGUGACCGAUAGUGAACCAGUACCGUGAGGGAAAGGUGAAAAGCACCCCGGAAGGGGAGUGAAACAGUUCCUGAAACCGUGUGCCUACAAGUAGUUAGAGCCCGUUAAUGGGUGAUAGCGUGCCUUUUGUAGAAUGAACCGGCGAGUUACGAUUUGUUGCAAGGUUAAGCGGAAAAAGCGGAGCCGUAGCGAAAGCGAGUCUGAAUAGGGCGCAUAAGUAACAGGUCGUAGACCCGAAACCAGGUGAUCUACCCAUGUCCAGGAUGAAGGUAAGGUAAUACUUACUGGAGGUCCGAACCCACGCACGUUGAAAAGUGCGGGGAUGAGGUGUGGGUAGCGGAGAAAUUCCAAUCGAACUUGGAGAUAGCUGGUUCUCUCCGAAAUAGCUUUAGGGCUAGCCUCGAGGUAAAGAGUCAUGGAGGUAGAGCACUGUUUGGACUAGGGGCCCUUCUCGGGUUACCGAAUUCAGAUAAACUCCGAAUGCCAUGUACUUAUACUCGGGAGUCAGACUGCGAGUGAUAAGAUCCGUAGUCGAAAGGGAAACAGCCCAGACCACCAGUUAAGGUCCCCAAAUAUAUGUUAAGUGGAAAAGGAUGUGGGGUUGCUUAGACAACCAGGAUGUUGGCUUAGAAGCAGCCACCAUUGAAAGAGUGCGUAAUAGCUCACUGGUCGAGUGACCCCGCGCCGAAAAUGUACCGGGGCUAAACAUAUUACCGAAACUGUGGAUGAACCUCUUUAGAGGUUCGUGGUAGGAGAGCGUUCUAAGGGCGGUGAAGUCAGACCGGAAGGACUGGUGGAGCGCUUAGAAGUGAGAAUGCCGGUAUGAGUAGCGAAAGAAGGGUGAGAAUCCCUUCCACCGAAUAUCUAAGGUUUCCUGAGGAAGGCUCGUCCGCUCAGGGUUAGUCGGGACCUAAGC
Molecule: ribosomal RNA, 949 nt
Filed under: Listeria monocytogenes
Lineage: Bacteria; Bacillati; Bacillota; Bacilli; Caryophanales; Listeriaceae
Description: partial 23S ribosomal RNA
Rfam family: Bacterial large subunit ribosomal RNA
Source: RNAcentral